CCAGUGAUGGAGAAAUGGAUGAGAUCUACAUGAACAGCCUGGACAUGAGUUGGGAUUCUCAGAAUGUACUCAAGAAAACUACAAGCUCGAGUACACAGCCUGACCUCUGAGAAGAAUGUGAAUUGUAUCCUUUCAGAAAAAAAAAAUGGUUAGUACAAAAGAAAUAUUUACAGAAUAAACAUCAAGAGUAGAGGAAGUCUACUCUAGCACAUCUCCACAUUAAUAAUUAAUGGAAGUCAUGUGACGGGGAUUGUGAAAAAGCAAGUGAGAAAGAAAAACGACUGCACAUGUUGAGAUGCUGAUGAUCAGCUUAGAGAGAGAGACGCUUGGAAUUCUGAAUGGUAAAGUCUACAUGGCUCACUGUGUGUAAAUCAUCAAGAUGGGAUGCUAAAGUAGCAUCAAGUCAGAGCUUUGUAGCUGAAUAUGAGAAAUGGGCAAUGUGACCAACUGUGAAGGGAACUAAAAUUCAUACAGAAGAAGGCGGAAGGGGAGUAAAUAGCAGUCAGGAUAUCGGAAAGUCAAAGAGGAUUCAUAAUAUUUACCUGUACCCCACAUACCUUUAUACAAACAUACAUAUGUAAUUAAAUGAAAUUGCCUCAUCUGGCUGUCAAUGCUCUCUCCAAGACCCAGACUCCAUCUGACUAAAACCCACCACCAGGCAUGACAGCCUUCUUUAGAGUUUUGGUCAUGCUUGUCUAAGAGCUUUCCCAAACAUUAUUGGAUGUUUCUAUUGCCCUUGGAUGUCCCCCGUUGAGGUGGAAGGCAAGUCCCUAUUAAAGAAGACACCACACACUCUAGACACAUGACACAGAGACCCCUGAGCUAGUGUUAACCUGAAAAUCUUCUUCUUGAAAGUUAGUUUUCAUGGUAUCAAAUGGAAAAAAAAUGAGCUUUGAAAUGAGGGAAUCAACCAACAGCUCUACCAAGCUAUGAUAUCUAUAAACCACAAUAACAGUCAGGAUGGGACAUUAACUGUACUGGUUCAGUAGUGGAACCCACAGCAUGACAGGAACUAACAUCUUUCUAACUGGUCUAAAAAAGAAAGAAAUCAUGCCUGGUAUUGAAGUCAGAGGAGAAGAGCCUAUAACUACCAAUGCACUAAGCCAAAAAUAGUGCCUAACUACAUUGGAAAUAUUUGUUCUCAUACACACAGAUAAGUGUAAUCCUCACCCAUCAUGAAGGAAAUUAAUCUUUGUAACAGACAGUAACAAAGAUUUAAUCAACAGAUUUCUGCUUAAGAUGGGAGCCAUUGAGCUGUAUAUCAUAUAGAGUGAGAAAAUAGAAUUCCUGUCUGCUGUUACUGAUACUCAUUGUCUUAUCUGAAAAAAAUGAAGGCAAAAUAGAAUUGUAAUAAUUUUUCUGAAUUGCCAUAUUCCUAUCAAUGCAUCCUGAAUAUUUUUUCUCUUUCUUUAUUUUUGAGAUUGUAAUUACAGUAUUUAUCCCUUUGCCUUCCUCCUUUCAAGACUUCAAGUACCCCUCCCUGUUAUUUUUAAAUCAUUGGCUUCUCUUUUCAUUAGUGGAUGCUGCAUGCAUGUAUGUAUGUUUAUGCAUAUAUAUUGUAUUCUUUAGUAUAACCUGCUCCAUCUUUAUACUGUUACUUGUAUGUUUUCAGGGGUGAUUAUUUGGUAUUGCAUAAACAAUUGGUUUUCUCAUCCCUGGGGAAGACAAUUUAUCCAGUUCUCAGUGUUCAUUAGUUCUCUGUAGUUCUUUGUGUAGAGAUGAGGUCAUCAUGUGGGCUUUCCCCUGUCCACUUUGGCCUGUAAUCGGUGUAUUCCUUGUUCAGCUCACACUGAGAUACUUCAUUCAUUUUGUUUUCAGGUAUGAUAUUAGAACUCUAACAUACAUUUUUAAGUUACUGGUUAAUUCACAUAUAGAUAAUCAUUACUACAGAUGAAAAUUAUAUAUCAUUAGACAGGUACAUUUAUACUUAUUUACUUAGAUGCUCAUUUAAAAAAUUAAGUUUUCCAGCUUGAUUUUAUGAUCUUUUUCUUUUUAAUAUUGUUUCAAAGACAAUGAUAUAUGAUAUAUCCUAUAUGUUUCAAAAUCAAGGUCAUAUAUAUAGCUGUCAUUUUCAUAGCUUCCCUAGAAGGCUAACAUCCUUUACUAACUUCCAAGAUCUACAAAAUCUGAUUUUUCAUUAAAAAUCAAACUGCAGUUUGUUUGUGUCUCUCUUUCCCCAUUAGUACAUUCUUUUUCCAAGAUGGUUUCAUAUUCUGAUAACACUACAUUGAAUUUUACCAAUUAUUCUUUGUACAUGUAAUGUUCAUGUCUGUGUAACUGUAAUCUAGACAAUAUAAAUCAACCUUAAGUUAAUGUGUAUAUUAAUAUGCCUGUUUUUAUUUUUCUCUUUUACUCAGGAAAAUUACCAUUUCCGCAGGGUUUGCUUUUGGUACAGUUUUAUUGUAUCACAUCCUUUCACCUUACCCAUUUUAUUCCUGAUGGCUCUCAGUCAGUUUGAAAAUAAUUUAUGGUGAGUCCACAUACACUGCAGAGACUAUAUUUUUCCUACUUUAACUAUAGACUCCUGGAUAUGCAUAUGGCUGUUUUUAAUGAAAAUGUCAACGUAAAAGCUAGUCAUAGUGAUCACUAGACCUCCACUGGAUCUUCAGAGUCUGAGUAUGACAUAUAUAUUCCAUCUUCCAUAUCUCAUUGUCUGUAGUAAUAAUUCUGUUGUGUUGGGUUUUUAGUUUCUGUACCAGGAUAAAAGAAGUCCCACAUAGUACACUAAUGUUUUGUUCCAUUAAAUCUUGUAUCGUUGUACCAGAAAAUGUGUCGAAGACUAACUACCUAGUUAAAGCUUGUGUUUACAUAAUAAGAAUGGCUUAAACAAUUAAAAGUUGAAGGCAGAUUUAUGAACCUAGUAUAUAUGUAGCUUUCAUGACGUUUUUAUAAGUAAAAAAGAAAAAGAAAUUGGAUAUUUCCCUGGUAUGUAUUGGAAAUGAGACUAAGCAACCCUAGCAUUACUAGCAGAAAUCUGUUUCAUAAUAUUCAUGAUGGAUUUGUAACUCAUUUGCUUCUUUGAAGUUUUUUGAGAAAAGCACAAGGAUGAGGAUUAUAUUGAUUUUCUUUCUGUUAAAAUCAACAUGGAUUAGAUAUAGAAAUAUUCUAAAGAGAUUAAUCAAGUCAUGGUUUGGGGAUUUUUUUACUUGAUAGACCCCUGAGUAUUACUUAAUGUAUUUUAUUCUAGAUUAAGAAUUAAGUAAAUCUGCUGCAUAUACUUUAAUGAGAUGUCUUUUAUUAUAGACCAAAUUGCUGAACUCAGAAAUUGCAUUAAUGGGGCCUGAAGUCUACGCCAGAGUUAUUGAAUUCAGUAUAUUAAUACAUAUUCUUAUUUACAUAUUCAUUCUUUUGGUAUAUUUUUACUAGGUAUUUUAUUUCUCCUGUCUCUUGUUACUUUUGUUUCUUAUAUGUCUAUAUGCAUUUUUUGUAUUUAUUUCAUAGAACAAACACACAAAUUUAAAAGCAUGCUUUUGCCAUUGCCAUUGCAUGGGCAAAAAUUUAAGUGCUGAGUAACUUGGACUUAUUUUAAAUUUCCUCUUUAUUUUUGUCAUUAUUUGUAUAUUUAUGUUGGAAAUAAAGUGAAAUGCUGACUAA
Molecule: non-coding RNA, 3594 nt
Organism: Peromyscus maniculatus bairdii (prairie deer mouse)
Lineage: Eukaryota; Metazoa; Chordata; Mammalia; Rodentia; Cricetidae
Source: RefSeq, a predicted model, not a curated record